Vespa mandarinia (Asian giant hornet) is the source of this 6198-nucleotide long non-coding RNA. NCBI's taxonomy places the organism in Eukaryota, Metazoa, Arthropoda, Insecta, Hymenoptera, Vespidae. The record is from RefSeq and is a predicted model, not a curated record.
GGUUGUAUAUAACAAUGUCAAACGCAAGAGAUCAUGGAACAAAAAUGAUGAACCGGCUCAAAGCAUUUCCAAAGCCAGUAUCCAUCAAAAAGGUGAUGUUAUCUAUUUGAUGGGAUUUUAAAGGAAUCUUUUUUUUUUAAUUUUAUCGGAUAAUACAACAAUUAAUUCGGAAGUCUAUUGUCAUCAGCUGGACAAACUGAAUGAUGCACUUCAUUAGGAAAGGCCAGAAUUAAUCAACAGAAAAAGUAUAGUGUUCCACCAAGUAAUGCAAUACCUCGUACAAGUUUGAUCACUCGCCAAAAGCUUUUACAACUUGAAUGGGAUACAAUGCCACACCCACCAUAUUCUCCAGAUCUGACACCUUCGAAUUAUUAUUUGUUCCGGUCACUGCAAGAUUUUUUAGACGGUAAAACCUUUACUUCAAAUGAGGAGGUCAAAAACCACCUCGAUCAGUUUUUUGCCAGCAAAGACCAAAAAUUUUAUGAGCGUGGAAUGAUGCUAUUACCAGAAGGAUGGUAAAAGGUAUUGGACCAGAAUGGCCAAUAUAUAAUUUAAUAAAAUAUUUGUUCAUUAUAUGAAAAUUGUCUUUCACUUUCACAAAAAAAAAACGAAAUUACUUUCAGAAUAACCCAUUACAUAAGAAGUGAAAUAUCAAAAUGAAAAAUAUCAAAUCGAAAGAAAAUAUUCUCUUUGGUAUGAUUGAUUACAAGGAACAUCGUAAUCACGGUUAAGAUAGUUGAAUUACCGGUAUUUUUAUUUGACCGAUAUAUUCUCUCCGACCAAUGACAAAAAGUAGAUCGAGCAUAAUCAAAAAAAUGAUCGUUACGAAAAUACAAAGAUUAAAGGAUCUCUCUAAAGCAUCUAAUCGAUUUCAGCAACUCUCGGACACACCAGGAAGAAAGAAGAGUAAAACGAAAUAAAGAAAAAAAAAAUUUCUAGGAACAAAGAAUAGACAUGUCAACACGUUUAAAAGAUAAAGAUAGUCAUUACGAAGAUACUGUUGUUGAGAACAGUAACAACGAAGAUAAAGAAUACAAUCAAUAACGAGAAUAGGCAACGACAAAAUAUCGAGAAACAAAAAAAAUAAUGAUUGAGAUUAAAUGAAAGUGAGUAAAAAAAAAAUAAAUAAAUAUGACGUUUGUUAUCUUUUUAUUCGCAGGAAUGUGCGAAUAACGUAAAAACGUAGGAUUAAUAUAUUAAAGGCACCAAUGAAAUAUUACCGACGUUCGAAUCGGAUUUAUUCGGAUCUCGAGGUUGAGAGAUAAAUCGAAAAAAAAUAAAGAAUAAUUUCGAUUAAUCGAAAAAAAUAAAGAAAAUAGAUCAGUUAUGACUCUGUAUACGCCACACGGUUAAACAAUUUAGAAUCGUUAGAGAAGAUUUUGAAGCAUUAUUAAUUGGCGAUUUGAAGAGAAAUCUGGCAAAACGAUAAUGUGAUUGCCUAUCUUUCUCAAUGGCAACGAUUAGUUGCACGAGAAUACAAUAGGAAGAUAGGAUAGAAUUUAUUUAGCGGCAGAAAGUAUUUAUUACUUAUUAAACUAGCCAAACGCACAAAAGCAACCAUGCCAGAUAAGGAAACAAAUGGAGAUUAGUUUUGGGAUUAAGAAACAUACAAUUCUGCGAUUAUUUGGGACAUCUUUCAAGAUAUGCAAAACCUAUCUGUACCAAUCAACUGCUAGCAGACUUUAAAAAAAAAGUGCUGAUCAUUAACCACACUAACCAACCAUAUCAUGAUAAAUUGAUGAAAAGCAGGACUUUUAACGACAAUUACGGGAUUCAACUGAAAAUAAGAUAAUAAGUAUACAAAUUAUAAAGUAAUGUUAAAUUUUUGAAUACAAUAAAGUAAAUUGUUAUUUAUUAUUUAUUAAGAUUGGAGAAAGAGAACGUCGAGGAUAAUAACUUUGUAAAAAGAACUACAAUAGUAGAGAUAUAUAGUUCGAACAAGUUGAACUAUAAUCAGAUCAAUUAUGAUCGAUCUAGGAAACUUAUAGGUGAUACUAAAUACAGGAUUAACAACGACGAUGAAAUAGGACUGACGUACAUAUCUAAAGUUUCGUAAAAUUAAUAGAGUAUGGAUAUGGAUAUGUAUUAUAACUGUAUUAUAACUGUUGGAACUAUAAUUGGGAGUAAAGGAGAAUUGAAGAUCUAUCCGUAGUUCCGAUGACGUAUCAAGUCAUCCCUUUGAUCCUAUAGGUCAUCAUCCCUUACGAGAGGAUGACACACAGGACGAUAUUGUAAUCAUGUGUCAAGUAACAACAGUGAACGACAAGACCAUGUAGAUUGUAGAGACAUGUAUUAAAUAUUAUUGGCUCGUAAUGGACAAAGAGAUAGCGCGUCAUUACAUGCGGAAAACCGAUCCAACAAGGAAGUCACGAAAAUAGAAGCGAACACUAAAUCAUAUUCAUUAUACACAAAAAUGUUGUACACCGAACUAUUGAAUAAACUGAGAUGGAUAGAAACACCAAUGGGAUUUGACAACUGUACAUUAUCAACCGUAUUGAUUAUUCAACAUCAUAAACAACGACAACAGGAAAUAAUGCACAGUAACUAGAUUAUAGAAGGUAACAUCAUUGAAGCGAAUGAUUUUCUGUUUUCCUGUUGUUCAAUGAUACUUUUCGAGAUAAAAUGACUUGCAAGGUAUGAAUGGGAGAAUGAAGGGGAACGGGAAUACAGAUCGUAAAACAGUUAAAUAAUAACAAUGAAAUAAUAACAAUUAAAUAAUAACAUUCUAUAUCGAGAGAAUACAGGAUCGAUCGAACAGACAGAGCAGACAUAUUAAAUAUUAUAUCAUAUCGAGUCCUAAGUAACCGUUAUAUUAUCAAGUAUCACCGAUAAUUGAAGUUUCUAAACUAUAUAAUUGUCGUUUAACAUAUACGGUCGGAUUUUAUCAGUUCGCUGGAAUACCAUUUCGACUUUCUAAUGCUGCCUGUCGCGUUUCAACGACUAUGUUUAAUGUAGUUUUAAAUAAUCUGCCGGAGUUUAUUGCAAUUGUAUGUAUAUUUGAACGGUAUCAUUGCAACAUCGCAAAAAUAUCGAAGAAGGAAUAGAUAUCCUCUCUUUCUUUUUCUCUCUAUCUGUCUCAUACCGCGUUCCUUUUGUUACAUUAUACUACUCUACAUUGAAUUUCUGAUAAGUAAUGUAUAUACCAAUCGUAACCAUCUAAAUUACAACCGAGUUGCUAUUUAUUAGAUUUCUAAAAUAAUGUUUCCUAAUUGUCCAUUUGCAAUUUGGGAUCUUUAUGUGUUCGAUAUGUUAUUUUCUAUCAUUAGAAAAUUUUUCUAAUUUAUUGACUAUCAAAGUGUUUCCUGUAUCACUGAAUGUUUAGACAAGUCCUAUUAUUAGAUAAACUCUUUAAAAAAAAAAUUUUAAGUGUCGUUGCAGAUAUUCACAAAUUACUCUAAUCAUGGAAUAGUUAUUAUAAUUGCACCUUAAAACAAUUAUGUAUUUAUUCAAAAUUAUUCUGUUUUUCAUAGAGGACAUAGAAAUCUUGGCUAUUUAUCUAACGAAAUAAUAUAAUAUAUAUAUACAUAUAUAUAUAAUUUUAUCUGACUAGUUAGUUCAUAUCAGGAAAAUAUUAUUAUGCCUUGUUUAAUUUUGCCAAGUCUAAUCGAUUUUAAUAUGACAUAAAAAUUUUUAUCUAUUUCGAUAAAUUAUUUCGUAACAAUCUUUAGAAGUGUUUAGAUUUCAACAAUACAUAUUCAACAAUAUUAUACACAGUACACGAUUUUUCAUUGAUAGAAAAUAUGAAUUAGUUUUGAUUGAAAUAAGAAAUUAGAGACGAAAUAUAAAGGACUAUACGAAAUCGUGAAGAUACUUGAUAAAGAUAGAUAUUUGAUACAGGAUAUUGAAACAGAACAACAGAGUAAUACAUUUUAUAAGAUUAUCGUUGCUUUGAAUAGACAGAAACCUUUAUCAAUAUUCAAUGAAUCAUAUGUAUCGUGUUAUGUUAGAUUUCACUUUUCUCGAUAAGCAAACUGUUCUAGAAACUAUACAGAAUCUCUACUUCGCUUUUUUUGUUCUUGUUUUACUUAAUUUUUUAAUGUUGUCGAUACAAUGAAAUUCGUAUCUUUCUUAAAUUUUGUUUUUAUUGCAUUUUAAAUUCGCACAAUACCUACCUAUUCUUUAAAUUAUCCGAAUUUUCCCUAAAAACAAUACGUUAGUCUUCGCUUUGUAAAAUUUCUCUAUCUAUUUUUAACAUUAUAAUGGAAAUUGGGAAAUUCACACUUUCCUAUCGAAUAUUUUGUUUUAAUUUUCUAUUACACGCUUAAAUUUAAUUAUGCUUCACUAUUUUUUUUUUUAAUCAACGUAAGAUAACGCUUUUUCUUAUAAGCAAUUUUUUCAAAUAAAAAUUCUGAACAUGAAUGAUUUUCAUUUCCCCUUGGUUUUAAUUGAAAGAAGUACACUUAAUUUUUCAUUGUUACAUCAAAAAUCUUGCACGAUAUGACAAUCAUAAACUAAUGCUUUAUAUCAAAUACUACGUACUUUCAGCUUAAGAGAUUAAAUGCGAUUAUUAUUGAAUCUUUGCUUUUUUGAACAGAUAACUAGUUUUGUAUAUCUCAUUGCAUUUAUUUUAAUUUUUGCUAAAUCAUAACUCUGUUCUUUAAAUUAAAUAAAUCUAUAUACAGUUUGUUGAAAUUCGAUCUGUCAAGAUUAUAUCUAUUUCCUAUAAUCUUGCCACCGAUGCAGAGAUACACAUUUCUUCCAAUUCUUCUUGUUUUCCAUAAUUCGAUAAGUUUCUCAAAUAUUACCCUAUUCUCUGAAAGAUGUGAGGAUAUCUUCCCUGUGUGCCAUCUACUAGAAUUCUUCAUGGUCUAUAAUUUGUCAGAUUCCUACUAAAGAGUUUCUCCCUCUGUAAUAUAUUCGUCCUUUCAUCACGAAUUUUACACGUGCAUAGAUUUUUUUAAGGUUCUUCAUGCAAAAAUAAUUGUAUAUUAUGUUUGAUAAGAAUUGAAUCUAUUUUUCUUGACACGUCUACUAGUUAUGCACAUUUCAUAGCGCUUAGUUCAAUUGAAUAAUAUUUCUAAUAAAAAUUCUGCACGUAAAUGAUUCUCAAUUGGUUUAAUUUUAAAUGAAAGGUAUAUACACUUAAUUAUUGCUCUUUUCAUGAAAAGUUUUGCACGAAAUCAUAAAAUGCUGCAUUAUUCCAAAUAUUAGGAGAUAUCACCUUAACAGUUAAAAGCGAUUCUUAUUGAAUCUUUCCUUAUUUUCAAAGACAACAGGUUAUUAACGUCCCAUAGCAUUUAUUUUAAUUUUUGUUAAAUCAUAACUCUUUUCUUACAAUUAAAGAAAUCUAUAUUAUGUUCGUUAGAAUUCGGUCUGUCAAGAUUGUCCAUGAUGACCAUAAUAAUGCAAUCGGUGUAGCGAAACACAAUUCUUCUGAUUAUUUUCCUUUUCCAGAAUACGUUAGGUUUAUUAAAUAUUACCCUAUUCUCUGAAAGAUGUGAGGAUAUCUUCCCUGUGUGCCAUCUACUAGAAUUCUUCAUGGUCUAUAAUUUGUCAGAUUCCUACUAAAGAGUUUCUCCCUCUGUAAUAUAUUCGUCCUUUCAUCACGAAUUUUACACGUGCAUAGAUUUUUUUAAGGUUCUUCGUGCAAAAAUAAUUGUGUAUUAUGUUUGAUAAGAAUUGAAUCUAUUUUUCUUGAAAUGUCUACUAGUUAUGCACAUUUCAUAGCACUUAGUUCAAUCGAAUAGUAUUUUCAAUAAAAAUUCUGCACGUAAAUGAUUCUCAAUUGGUUUAAUUUUAAAUGAAAAGUAUAAAGGAACAAAUAAUAACAUGUACAUUAGAUUCGUCGGAACAUGCAUUUUGUAUUCUGCUGUUUUUUAUUUUGAUAUUGUUUAACGAAAAAUAUUUUUUAAUGAAAAAUAUUGUUUAAUGAAUAACAUUGUUUAACGAAUAAUCGUCUAGAGAUAUGCAAAUAUUAUGCGACAGGCAUUUAGUUGGAUCGAAAAAAUUUUUUUUAUGAUAAAUCUUUGUUUUGAUUGUUUCGAUCUAAUUAUUGCACGAAAUAAAAAUUAUGAAAUCUUUAGAUAAUAUAGUGCGAGUGUGCAUUUAUUGUUUUAUUUCGACUUACCGAAUAAAAUACGAUGGCACGAUUGAGACGUUGCGAUAUGUGGUCCUUUCGUUGCUGAGUUGCUGACUUUCAAUCCGAAUUGCAGACGAGAAUCUCCCUUGUAUUCUAUAUACAUCUUCACUUCGUUAAAA